Carassius gibelio (silver crucian carp) is the source of this 875-nucleotide long non-coding RNA. RefSeq lists it as uncharacterized. The transcript has 2 exons. The record is from RefSeq and is a predicted model, not a curated record. NCBI's taxonomy places the organism in Eukaryota, Metazoa, Chordata, Actinopteri, Cypriniformes, Cyprinidae.
AAUCAAAUCAGUUUGUAAUCUGCAUAUAACCAUGUCAGUUUUUAUCUAGCAGUCCGAAUCACAAUCUGGCUGAUGAUGAUCACUACAAUGACAACGAGGCCAAUACCAAGGGCGACAUGAUUCAGGGAUAGUAACAAGAGGCAGAGGUAAGUGAAUCCAACCACAGUGUUUAUUUACAGAAUAACAAGUACGAGGUAAGUAAUCAGUGGUUUCAGGUGCGGGUUUGGUGCAAAUCCCUCAGUGCGAGGCUGAAAACAGGUGAGUACAUCCUUUGCAGAUAUGUCAAUGCAACACAGUCACAGUUCGUUAAUACUUUUCUCUUUCUCUUUCAGACGCGGAAGUUAUCAAGUGAGCUUGGAUGAAACACAGGAGCAGGGUCGUAGCUGGGGUUCACGGGGCCCCGGUGCAGGUUCUACCAGUGGGCCCUUUUUGAAAUUGUUUAAUUUGCAUGUUCAUUCUAUUUAUUUAUUUGCACUAUUUACACCAUGUUUAAGCUUGUUUAAGUUUGUAUGUGUACUUUAAGUGUAAGUACAGAAACGGAAUAAUCAAAUGUAAAAUAGCACUACAUAGGCUUCAGUGUAAAAUAAAUUAUACAGUCAGACCAAAAUGUAUUCAAAUACCUUUAACAUUUCUCACAUUAUCAUAGUUUAUUUGCUAUAGUUUAGAAACAUGGUAAAAAAAUAGAACAAGAACUUAUAGUUAAACUGUUAGAACAAAUGUAUCUUGAUAAUGCCAGAAAGCUUUGAGAAAAAGGUGUGUAUUGGAUUACAAUCAAACAAAACUUUAGACAACUGUUAGUAGUUUGCUUUAUUUUGUUGUAGGUUACAUAAAUGAAUAUUGCUCUGCACCCACAAAUAAAAAAUGUCAAAAAAUUA